Molecule: long non-coding RNA, 788 nt
Filed under: Ursus maritimus (polar bear)
Lineage: Eukaryota; Metazoa; Chordata; Mammalia; Carnivora; Ursidae
Description: lncRNA (ENSUMAG00000023796.1)
Source: RNAcentral
GUAGUCACGUGAUGACUCUUUCCAUGAGCCACAGCGGAACCCCCCGGCCAAGCAUCACAAGCCACAGGGGGCUUUAGAACUUAGCUCUCGGUGCCACGAUCAGCAUGAGCUAUCGGGUCGAUGCCUGAUAGCCACUCCUGCAGGAAGAGUUCCAGAAUAUUCUCUCACCAGUAAGGAAAAGAAGUGACGCUCAUCAGGUUCUGAGGAUUCCUUGUAGGCUUGCAGCUGGACAGCGGCCCCAUGUCAACACCUGCAUCGUCGCGGUGAUGAAUUCUAUCAGUCUCCCUGCUCCGUGUCUGAACAUACGAGCGGUAUGUUCCCAUCCUGCCUUGGGUCGGAAUAUCUUUCUGAACUUGACUAUUUCUGUGGUGGCGGGAGAGUGUCCCCUGAAUGGACUCUAAAGCGGGCAGUUAGGGAGUCCAUGGAAUUCUGAGAGGAAAAUCCUUACACGAGCAGCAGAGCUAGAAAAACCCUAGGAACGACCCAGCCCUCCCCGGACUAACGAGCAAGGUGAGGCAGACGGCUUGAGGGACUUGGACCCAGGCCCCGGACUGGCUGGCCAGUGGCUGAAGGGGCCAAGACCCCUGGUCUUUCACUUUAGGCAAAAUCUCUUUCACUUAGGCUCCUGGUCCUCUUCUGAAGACUUAGGAUUUUCAGUUGUUUUAUUUUAAAGAAGGCAAAGACCAGGAAAAAAAAAAAAAGAAGAAGAAGAAGGCAGCAGGCAAGGUCGUAAAUGCAAAUGCUGGAAAACAAAUAAAAAAGCUCUUCCUUUUCUACGAUAGGAUCGU